UCUUGGUCACCAUUAGAGGAAGUAAAAGUCGUAACAAGGUCUCCGUUGGUGAACCAGCGGAGGGAUCAUUACUGAGUUUACGCUCUAUAACCCUUUGUGAACAUACCUAUAACUGUUGCUUCGGCGGGUAGGGUCUCCGCGACCCUCCCGGCCUCCCGCCUCCGGGCGGGUCGGCGCCCGCCGGAGGAUAACCAAACUCUGAUUUAACGACGUUUCUUCUGAGUGGUACAAGCAAAUAAUCAAAACUUUUAACAACGGAUCUCUUGGUUCUGGCAUCGAUGAAGAACGCAGCGAAAUGCGAUAAGUAAUGUGAAUUGCAGAAUUCAGUGAAUCAUCGAAUCUUUGAACGCACAUUGCGCCCGCCAGCAUUCUGGCGGGCAUGCCUGUUCGAGCGUCAUUUCAACCCUCAAGCUCUGCUUGGUGUUGGGGCCCUACAGCUGAUGUAGGCCCUCAAAGGUAGUGGCGGACCCUCCCGGAGCCUCCUUUGCGUAGUAACUUUACGUCUCGCACUGGGAUCCGGAGGGACUCUUGCCGUAAAACCCCCCAAUUUUCCAAAGGUUGACCUCGGAUCAGGUAGGAAUACCCGCUGAACUUAAGCAUAUCAAUAGGCCCGGAGGAA
Molecule: ribosomal RNA, 619 nt
Filed under: Colletotrichum gloeosporioides
Lineage: Eukaryota; Fungi; Ascomycota; Sordariomycetes; Glomerellales; Glomerellaceae
Description: eukaryotic LSU rRNA
Rfam family: 5.8S ribosomal RNA (bases 244-397)
Source: RNAcentral